UAAACCCUGCUCAGAAGUCAAGAGCAGCAGCGCCGCUGCUCUUCGAGGCCUUUCAUGCCGCAGCCACUCCUUAUUCUUGUGCCUCGGCCUCUCUGGGCGCCCCCGGACAAAGCCCCCUGGAGCCCGGCCGCUCCCUUCCCCCUAAAUCCCCUUCGGGGUCAGCGCGCUACCAGCACUGGGCCGUGCGCCUCUCCUGCCAGUCCUUGUGGCUCUUAAAGAGCGGCACCCCCCCUCCGCCCCGCGCUCCUCCGACCCCCGUCUCCCCGCCCCUCUCCUCUGGAUAUAGCCCCCAACUCCGACGCCUGAGGUCCCUGCUGCCCUGAC
This 324-nucleotide long non-coding RNA is filed under the name Marmota marmota marmota (Alpine marmot). Its description in RNAcentral is "Six3os1 conserved region 4 (ENSMMMG00000010986.1)". It matches the Rfam family "Six3os1 conserved region 4". Lineage: Eukaryota; Metazoa; Chordata; Mammalia; Rodentia; Sciuridae. The record is from RNAcentral.